RNAcentral lists this ribosomal RNA (420 nucleotides) under Fusobacteriota bacterium. Its description in RNAcentral is "Fusobacteria bacterium partial 16S ribosomal RNA". It matches the Rfam family "Bacterial small subunit ribosomal RNA", at positions 355 to 776 of the family's 1533-position model. The record is from RNAcentral. Lineage: Bacteria; Fusobacteriati; Fusobacteriota.
UGGGGGAUAUUGUACAAUGGGCGAAAGCCUGAUGCAGCGACGCCGCGUGGGGGAUGAAGGCCUUCGGGUUGUUAACUUCUUUUGCUCUGAACAAGGCAUGCCUUUGGGGUGUGUUGAGUGUAGGGGUUGAUUAGCGCCGGCUAACUACGUGCCAGCAGCCGCGGUAAUACGUAGGGCGCGAGCGUUGUCCGGAAUUAUUGGGCGUAAAGGGCUUGUAGGUGGCUGGUUGCGUCUGUCGUGAAAGCUCAUGGCUUAACUGUGGGUUUGCGGUGGGUACGGGCUGGCUUGAGUGCAGUAGGGGAGGCUGGAAUUCCUGGUGUAGCGGUGGAAGGCGCAGAUAUCAGGAGGAAUACCGGUGGCGAAGGCGGGUCUCUGGGCUGUUACUGACGCUGAGGAGCGAAAGCGUGGGGAGCGAACAGG